Molecule: non-coding RNA, 1750 nt
Organism: Danio rerio (zebrafish)
Lineage: Eukaryota; Metazoa; Chordata; Actinopteri; Cypriniformes; Danionidae
Source: RefSeq, a predicted model, not a curated record
UAGACAGUCCAGGGAAAAUGAAUGAAUGAAUUGUGAUUUUUGAGAGCACUGGUCAGUUUUUUCUACCAUUAUUCUAAUUUAAUUCAUUAUUAAAUAUCAUUACUCUGUUGAUGCAUUUUUAUUCAUUUCUACCAUAAAAUAUCUAAACCUAUCAUCCUCAUCUCUUUAGUGAACUGUGCACACUGCAGCGUGACCUUUGCGUGUGGUCUGCACUGAUGCAUAUGGAGGCCUGUAGCCGACUGUCAGUCAUACUCUUACCACUGUCUUGUUUGUUCCACAUUGUUUCCUUCCCAUUGUCCUUGAGUACAAAGAUAACCCUGUGAAAUUCCUCCUGAGCCUCUGACGAAAUGGCAGCAACUGAUGAGGGGCACCGAGAACACAUAAAGCAGAUGCCGCAAUCGUAAAGGUCUCCAGGCGCAUAAAUAAACGUCAAGUGGUACAUGUUGGCACCCUUGCUAGCCGUACACAUACUACUUAAGUUACAUGGCCAAUUGAGGCAAAACGAUGCGGGUCACAAGACAAGCGUUUAUUCUUAACCAACAGGGAGCGUUGAGUUAAAAGUGAAAAACAGAAUAAAGGUCAUCGCUUUCUUGCUCUGUUUGCGCACUAAGUAAUUCAAACACAAUGGUUAGGAUUUAUUCUUAUUAUACACAUUUUAAUGGAUGCCUAAAAUAUUCAUUAGCUCUUUAGGAAGCAUGAACUUUAGGAAGCAAUUUUAAGAGUCCAGUGAUUCUUAAAAACAAUAAUAGUAAUUGUUGGUGUGUAUUUUCAAAGCAAAAUACAAGAAUUGAAGCAAAUUAUGGCAUAACAUUUAAGAAAAGCAUGCAUAUUUAGCAUGCAUAUAGUUAAAAAAUGUCCCUGCAGCAUCCUACAGGGACUAAUUGAUGGAUAAGGAGGCCUGUCGCUGACUGUCAGAGGUCUAAUAACUGCUUGUUAACCCUAAGAACAAAAGGUAAAAGUUUAAGAUGCUGCUAGAUUUCUCUCAAAUCCCAAAGGUCUCUUCAGAGUCUUGAGGUGUCAAGCUAACACUCAUCAUCUCCUCACAUGAUAACUAUGGUAAUGCGUCUUAAUAUAUCUCGAGCACAUUUCACUGUGGUUUAAGGUUGCAGGACGGUUGGUUCCUCUGUAAAUGUGUGGAGCUCCUCCCUCUAUUCAUCUGUUAGGCUCCACCUCCAGCACCGGCCUGUUCACCUUCAAACACUACAGUUUGCCAGCAGACGCUCUUCGCUUUAGUCAUUCAGCGCUCAGCCUGCAGCUCUUCAUCUCAUUUUCAUUGUUGAGUUCAGCUGCUUUGAUUUGCUUAAUUGUUUAAUAUAUAAUUAUCUCUCAUUUAUUUUGAGGUCACACAAGGAGGAUGACAGGAGCAGGUCUCACAAGGAGGAUGACAGGAGCAGUGUAAAGGACAUUUAGCCCAGAGAUGGACGCUUCAUAUUGCAGGAUGUGGAAACACACCAUAAGUUGAAAAACUAAAAUAUGAGAAUGAUGGCAGCUGUGACAGAAGAACUGUUUUCUAAACAUCUGGCAAACAGCCUUCCACACAUAAGGCAAGAAGCACCAGCAUGACACCUCACACCUUUACAUUGUUUUCUGUUUGCCACAGACAGACACAAAACUGAACAUUGUUUAGAGCAGGGAUGUCCAAACUUGGUUUUGGAUGGCCGUGUCCUUGAGAGUUUAGCUCCAACCCUAAACAAACACACCUGAACCAGCUAAUCAAGCUCUUGCUAGAUCAGGGGUGUCCAGAGUCAGU